Molecule: ribosomal RNA, 496 nt
Filed under: uncultured bacterium
Lineage: Bacteria
Description: bacterial SSU rRNA
Rfam family: Bacterial small subunit ribosomal RNA
Source: RNAcentral
GAUAAACGCUGGCGGCGCACAUAAGACAUGCAAGUCGAACGGACUUAAUCGAAAUAUUUAUAUUUUGAAGCGGUUAGUGGCGGACUGGUGAGUAACGCGUGAGGAACCUGCCUAUUAGAGGGGAAUAACAGUGAGAAAUCAUUGCUAAUACCGCAUAUGCCAUAGAUAUCACAUGAUAACAGUGGGAAAAGGAGCAAUCCGCUAAUAGAUGGCCUUGCGUCUGAUUAGAUAGUUGGUGGGGUAACGGCCUACCAAGUCGACGAUCAGUAGCCGGACUGAGAGGUUGAACGGCCACAUUGGGACUGAGAUACGGCCCAGACUCCUACGGGAGGCAGCAGUCGGGAAUAUUGCGCAAUGGAGGAAACUCUGACGCAGUGACGCCGCGUAUAGGAAGAAGGUUUUCGGAUUGUAAACUAUUGUCGUUAGGGAAAAGAAAGGACAGUACCUAAGGAGGAAGCUCCGGGCUAACUACGUGCCAGCAGCCGCCGGUAAGUAU